GCACAAGCUUCAGGAGAUUUUAUAGCUCUGAGUUUGAACUCUGAGAAUCUGAACCAACAGCAACCAUGAGCUUCAUCACCAUCUUCAUCUGGAUCUUCACUAGCUGCUGUUUCACAGAAUCAGCAGCUGGAGUGACAGUCACUCAGACGCCUGCAGUGAAACCUGUUCAACCAGGAGACACAGUUACUAUCUCCUGUAAAACCAGUCCUGAAGUUUACCAGGGUUGGGGUGUUCAGCCUCUUUACUGGUACUUACAGAAACCUGGAGAAGCUCCUAAACUCCUGAUUUAUUACGCAAACACCCUCGAGUCAGGAACUCCAUCUAGAUUCAGUGGCAGUGGAUCUAACAGUGAUUUCACUCUGACCAUCAGUGGAGUCCAGACUGAAGAUGCUGGACAUUAUUACUGUCAGAGUGUACAUGAAAUCAACAGUGACUAUGUGUUCACACAGUGA
Onychostoma macrolepis is the source of this 452-nucleotide non-coding RNA. The record is from the annotation of a RefSeq genome assembly. NCBI's taxonomy places the organism in Eukaryota, Metazoa, Chordata, Actinopteri, Cypriniformes, Cyprinidae.